UUUUUCUCCAAACCCUAAAGGAGAGCGUGCAUCCUUCUUCUGUCGGCGAUUAACAUCUCUCUUCGCUGUGACCUAAAUUCAUCUUCUUGAUUAUCUCAACAAGAUCCAAGAAUUGAAGAGUGGAUCAAUCUUUAUUUGUAAUUGAAACCCUAACUUUCAAAAAGCGAUUCUGAUUCCAUCGAUCUUGCCUAAAUCCCAUUCACGAUUUCUGAUUCAAGGUUUCUUUUCUAAACAAUUUUGAAAAUCGAAGGCAAUAUCUAAUCUCUCUAAUCGGAUCUUCUUCCGCUAUUGAAGGGCUUGAAGGACUAUUCAUUUGAUGGUGUCUAAACGUGGAAUGCUUUUUGGUCGGACAACUGAGAUGUCGAUAGAAGCAAAGGAAAGAGUCUUUUAGCCUUCAGACAGUUAACAAGAAACUAUCUACUAUGAACAAGUUAUUAUUAGAGAAAAACGAUCGCCUGCAAAAAUAAGUGGCUCAGCUUGUGUGUGAAUGGAUAUAUGCGCCAACAGUUGAAGGUCUGCAUGCAUUGAUUGACCAAACCGAGACUGGGUGAACAGGUUUGGUAAUGCUGGCGACACUGCUCUAGAGAUAGUUGGAACAACUGCUUUCCGGUAACGUAGAGGCGGUUAAUAUGAUAAAUGAGAAUAAAGGGCGUAAGCAUGCUAGCCCUUUGGCAAUUUGUGUUGGUGAUGUGAAGGACUGGCAUAUUGUUGUUACGGACCAUUUGCAUGUUGGCUUGGUUGAGGGUCUUCUUCCUAGGUCGGUGACUGUGGUGCUAUAACACGAGGUACACAAACCCUGGCCGCUAGAGUAAAUGAUGAAGACUGCACUUCUUUAGAUUCAAAGAAAUCGGAACGAUUCAGGACGAUGAAAGAUGGUCUAAUUGAGGGACGAUUUGGGACCACAAAAGAUGGCCAAAUUAGGUCGUGGAAGGAAGGGAAACAGCAUAAUUCUCAUCAAAAGGCAUGUUUAUUUCUUUUGUUUUAUUUUUCAUGGUAUUGAGCAUAGUAGAAUUAUUAACUACUGGGAAUGAAACAAAUAAAAUAUCAACGAUGACAUGUUUUUACGUACUUCAGUUUCGUCAUUGUCAAAUUACUUAUGCUAUUUCUAUCACACACAUAAACACGGUCUCUCCAUCUGUUGGUAUAUAGUUAAUUUGGUGGUUGUUACUUGAAUGACCUAUUAACUUUGAAAAGGUAUUGUUUGCUCAUAGCUUUGUUUGAUUUUAGGAGUGAUCUGCAACCAUACGCACAAAUCGUAGUUUAGUUUAGACAAGAAAAAAGAUGGGCAUGCAACUUAAAAUGAGUUGGACGAAAAUUCAAAAGAGUGAAUUUCUCAAUUCCUUUUCGGGACAAGAACGUAAUCCAAUGAUUAACCCGUUUGACAUGUUCUAUGUUUUUCAUUUGACCAUUCGAGAUAGAACACGUCCAAAUUUAACUUAAUGAUUCUUAAAUGGAUGUAAAUUGCCACCUCUACCUAUGACAAUGAUGUUGAAAUGUUACUUAUCAGCAGUUCUGGUUAGAUGUAUCAGGUAUCGUUGACCCUUUAGCCUUGCUGGAGAAGAUAACAAAGAAUGGAAUAUCACAAGAUGUUUGUGUAAAUGAUUUGGAACCGUCUGCAUUUGAGCGUUUCCUCUGAAAAGAUUAGAACAACGCAUAAUUGUUGCAUGCCGUGAAAAAUAUGAUGUUUUUAUGUCUUGAAGGAACCAAGAAUUCAUAAUAAUUUGUCAAUAGUGAGUUCAUCAUACUCUUAACGAAUCGGUUUGUGGUUAGUUGAAUGAUUUGCUUCUUUAUAUCUAUUAUUGUUUGUUUUCUUCUUGAAUCAUUGAAUUUUGCUCAGUUCUAUUUUUUUAAUUUUGAUAUAGUGAUCGUGGAACACUAACUUAAGAUAUGUUUGAUGAAUGAAAGUGUAUGGUUUAUCUGACUCGAUUUAUCGUUCUUCGUAUGGUGUAGAUCUUAAGUUUUUUGAUUGAACAUUUGUUGGUUAUGCUUUGUGUGUUUAGUAGUAAGGAUUAGAGUCAUCCAUAGUAUUAAGUAACUGAUAUUAUAUUGUUAUGCUUAUCGAAUCUGUUGGUUUGCUUAUUUAUUCAUUUGAUUUUGGUUUAGGAAAUUGAAGUUAUAAGAAUUUGAAGCCGAAGGCGGUUUAUACUUUGCAUUUGAUAAAAUAUUAAAUAUUAACUGUUAUGAUCCACGAUAUUUACAUCUCUGACUGGUUGCGUCGAGCAGGUUACAAGUGUGCUAUUUGCAACGCCAAGUGAAAUAAUCAAUCUAGAACAAACCCAUGCAGGUACGUUGUUAAAUUAAAGUAUUUUUUUUCAAACACGGGUGACCAUGGAUCGGUUUGGUUUGGUUAUGGGUUAAAAGGGAAACUAUAACUGGUGUUUUGUAUAAAAUAAAUAAGUUGAGAUGGGUGGGUCUAUUGCAGAUGUUGUUGUGUCUAUUGGUGCGUGGCUCUUUGGCUUUUUGAGGAUGUUGUUGUGUCUAUUGGUGAGCACCUCUUUGGCUUUUUGAGGAUGAAACGGGUCAAACCAUUAAAAAAAAAAGAAACUACACAUGGAACAAGUAGAAUGUGUCUGAUGAAUCGAAAGUCACUCAGUCUAUUUUAAUGCUUACAACUUUCUUAAUCAUUUUAUUACAAAAUUAGGUUUUUAUUAUAGAAAUUUUCAAUCAUAUUUUAAGGCGUUAACCAUAUAUAAAAGGACUUCAAUGGACAAAAAAAUUGGGCAGCAGGUUAACCCAAUCCGACCUUUUUAUAUCUCGAAACCUGUUUCACAUUUUGCGAACUCUCGGUGCUGACCGAUGUGUACUAAUUCUCUUUCUUAUGCGCAAAUGUUCAAAUAUCAUGUGUUCCAAUAAUAGGUAGCCGAGAAGAUACUGAAUGGAAAGGAGUUGGAGUUCUAGGAAUGGGAUGGAGUUCUACAAAAUAGUUCUACUUUUUAGUAUCUGUUUGUUCUUGACUUCUUGCCUUAUAUUACGGCAGUUUGCUUUACUCACUUAUUCUCGAACAAAGUUGCAAAUUCUAUGCUUCCUUGCCACCUCUGCCUGGUUUAAAGCGAUUCCCUUUGAAGACAACAAGCUCCAUGAUGAAGAUUUAAACAUGGAGAUGGCAUGUUGUGGCAGUUUAAAAGUUAUCUUUCUCUAUUAAAUGAUGAAGAGAGUGGUAAAACUUUAAAUCAUAUAAAAGUUUCAUCAUUUCGGUAUGUUUUUAAUUCACUUAGCUAUAAAAUGGGUUGAAAUAGCCAUCUAGAGAGUACUCCGGCACUGUUUUGCUACUAUUUUAGCAGCUGGCGCAGAAUGAUUUUUGGUCGAGAAAGGAGCUGCAAAACAACUAUGUAAAGACUUAUAAAUAAUAUACAUAAGGGGAAGCUGGUUUCUUAGCGUUUAAGGCGGUUUAUUGCCGUUGCUUUGUUUUAUCUUCGCUCGCCAAGUUUGCUUCAUAUAAAACAUAUGUGAAUAAGUAUUUUCAGGAUAUAUGUUCGUCAUGUUUGUAAUGUAGCUUUUAAAUCUUCUUACUUUUUUUUUGUGUAUUUUAAGGUAUUCACAUCACUAUACAUGGUGGCACUAGCAAGCGGGGGAGUCAAGGUAUGUAUCUUAGUCGAGUAGAUCAAUUUGAUGACAAUGAUAUGGCUUAUAAAAAGGUCAAGAUUUUUUUUAAUUGGUAUAUUAAAGUGUAUAGCCGUUUGACGACUUGUGAUUUUUUCGUAUUACUUUUUCUUUAGUUCAUUGUAAUUUAAUAUUUACAUAAGUAAUGAAACGUUUCUUUCGUUUCAAAGUUUAUGUCAA
This is a long non-coding RNA of Helianthus annuus (common sunflower), 3780 nucleotides long. RefSeq lists it as uncharacterized. The transcript is spliced from 11 exons. The record is from RefSeq and is a predicted model, not a curated record. Lineage: Eukaryota; Viridiplantae; Streptophyta; Magnoliopsida; Asterales; Asteraceae.